UGAUGGUGUUUAAUACUCCCGAAGUUUGUUUGUUUCAUUUCUGUUUCCUUUCAUUUGUAGCUUUUUUGUCUUCAAGCAUGCUACCAUUCUGUCCAAGGUUAUAUUACCUAUUUGAUUUUUUAUGUAUGUAUAGUUUUUGUGCAUUAUAAUAGUAAAGGAAACAUGCAGUCUAAGAGACAAUUUAGGGGCAGGUUUAGGGUUGGGGUAUGUUUAGGCGGCAGUAUGUUUAGGGGCGGGGUUAGAAGAUAAAAUGAGCCCUGUGUCUGAGAAUGCACCUUCACAUCGGUCUGCCACCAGAUCUCUCUCAAUCAAACAGCAGCUCAACAAAGUCUCAUUGAGGGUUUCAAACGUGUGGCAGAAAACCAACAUACAGCACACAUCUUAGACCAUAAAAAUGGCUAAAGCUUAUGUAGAAGCGGGAGUUGGACAAGUUGGAACUGAAUUUUCAGUUGGUGCAGAAGCCAAAGGUCCGAAUGCCUCAGCUGGUAUUGGAAUUGAUGCGGAUGGAGGAGCAGAAGCAAUGGCUCGAGCUGAAAUUGGCAGUGCAUCAGUUCAUGCUGGUCCAGUCGGUGUGAAAGUGGGACUCGGAGUCGACACCGGUGCAUCUGUUGGUCCAAACGGGCUGGAGGUCAAAGUCCUGGGAACUGGAGUCACGCUUGGUCCGAAUCCCAGUAUUGCUCUUCUGGGUUCAGAAGUGUCAUGUUCAGUCAUGUAGACAUGCAGGUGUGUUGCAUUAGAUGGCACCAUUGACAGUUUGGAUCCAACUUUUGUGAAGAUUUUAAGUGACACCUAAUUAACCAAGUUAAGUCUUUAAAUUUCACUUUAAGCUGAAUACUAGUAUCCUGUGAAUUAACUAGUAAAAUAUAAUGCAAUGUCACCAUCACAACAACAAGACAUUAGUUAUUAAAGGGCUCCUAUUUUACCCCCUUUAAAACAUCUUACAUAAGUCUUCUGUGUCUCCAGAAUGUGUCUGUAAAGUUUCAGCUAAAAAUACCAUUUUACCACUUAUACCCUCCUGAAUAUUCACAUUUUAUGCUCAGAUGACAGUGUAGCUGUUUUUGUUGCCUGUGUGCAAUGCAACGACGCAUUAUUUUCUACACACACGUUUACACUGUUUGCACAUCUACUUGAAGCAUCCUCGUAUAGCCUCUAUGCGGCUGUGGUGCUUCAAUAAUCCGUUAUGAAUUACAUUGAUUUUACAGUCUUUUCUAUAUUACAAACAUCCACUGUUUUAAAACCGUUUGAAACUCAUUCUUGGGGUACUGCUGAUCACAGAGAGUCUGAGCAGAUCUUUUAAUCCCUUUUUCCCAUUUUGUGGACAUGUUUAUGGAGACAUGUCAAUCAGUUUUGUGGGUAGGGAAACCGUACUCCUAUGUCACAUUGCAGUGGGCCUCAAGAUAACUGUGAUUUGGAUCAAUUUUAACAUCAAGAAAUUGAAAUAAAAACUUAUAUCCAAUAUACAGUGUGCCCACACUAAACCUACACAAAGUUCUGUCCAAACAGCUUACAAAAGUUAAUUUUGCAUCAAAAUUGCUUUUUAAAAGUUUUGUGUUUGAAAGUAUGUUGAAAAAAAAUCUCUUUCAAAUUUCACAGGAGGGCAAAUCUUUUUGACUUCAACUGAAUAUAGCUGAUGUUGAACGGUUUCUUCUGUAUUGGGCAAUCAUGCAAUGUAAGCAUGUACUGGUGAACUUAAAGCAUGACACAAAAUAAAACUGAAUC
Non-coding RNA from Danio rerio (zebrafish), 1719 nucleotides. NCBI's taxonomy places the organism in Eukaryota, Metazoa, Chordata, Actinopteri, Cypriniformes, Danionidae. The record is from RefSeq and is a predicted model, not a curated record.